CCUACGGGUGGCAGCAGUCGAGAAUCAUUCACAAUGGGGGAAACCCUGAUGGUGCGACGCCGCGUGGGGGAAUGAAGGUCUUCGGAUUGUAAACCCCUGUCAUGUGGGAGCAAAUUAAAAAGAUAGUACCACAAGAGGAAGAGACGGCUAACUCUGUGACAGCAGCCGCGGUAAUACAGAGGUCUCAAGCGUUGUUCGGAAUCACUGGGCGGAAAGCGUGCGUAGGAUGUUUCGUAAGUCGUGUGUGAAAGGCGCGGGCUCAACCCGCGGACGGCACAUGAUACUGCGAGACUAGAGUAAUGGAGGGGGAACCGGAAUUCUCGGUGUAGCAGUGAAAUGCGUAGAUAUCGAGAGGAACACUCGUGGCGAAGGCGGGUUCCUGGACAUUAACUGACGCUGAGGCACGAAGGCCAGGGGAGCGAAAGGGAUUAGAUACCCCAGUAGUC
Molecule: ribosomal RNA, 446 nt
Filed under: uncultured bacterium
Lineage: Bacteria
Description: partial 16S ribosomal RNA
Rfam family: Bacterial small subunit ribosomal RNA
Source: RNAcentral